GAAAAACGAAGGGGCAAUCAUAGUAGAAAUCAAACUAAAAGAACUGGAACAAAAGUCAGCUGAAGUGAGCACAGAGUGGAGCAUCGUACCUGGGCGUCAAGGGCGACCAACACUGGCAUCGAUUCAACCUGGUGGAACUGUUUCAUUUGAACAUCGGAACAUAAAUGGGUUGAACAGAUCCUUUCUUGGUUCGGUGACAUCCAGUAAUCUUCUCAAUCCACAGGACGAUCUUGCUUUCAAGUUGGAAUAUGUGCAUCCCUAUAUUGAUGGAGUGUUUAAUCCUCGAAACCGCACCUUCCGG
RNAcentral lists this unclassified non-coding RNA (301 nucleotides) under Hevea brasiliensis (rubber tree). Lineage: Eukaryota; Viridiplantae; Streptophyta; Magnoliopsida; Malpighiales; Euphorbiaceae. The record is from RNAcentral.